This 253-nucleotide ribosomal RNA is filed under the name uncultured bacterium. RNAcentral describes it as "partial 16S ribosomal RNA". It matches the Rfam family "Bacterial small subunit ribosomal RNA", at positions 524 to 776 of the family's 1533-position model. The record is from RNAcentral.
UACGUAGGGGGCAAGCGUUGUCCGGAUUUAUUGGGCGUAAAGAGCGUGUAGGCGGCCAGGUAGGUCUGCUGUGAAAACUCGAGGCUUAACCUCGAGAUGUCGGCGGAAACCAUCUGGCUAGAGUCCGGAAGAGGAGAAUGGAAUUCCCGGUGUAGCGGUGAAAUGCGCAGAUAUCGGGAAGAACACCCGUGGCGAAGGCGGUUCUCUGGGCCACUACUGACGCUGAGAAGCGAAAGCAUGGGGAGCGAACAGG